This 88-nucleotide non-coding RNA is filed under the name Metabacillus litoralis. Its description in RNAcentral is "Bacillus litoralis c-di-GMP sequence". It matches the Rfam family "c-di-GMP-I riboswitch aptamer", at positions 1 to 68 of the family's 87-position model. Rfam says of the family: GEMM was predicted in a large-scale screen for bacterial structured RNA regulatory elements. Lineage: Bacteria; Bacillati; Bacillota; Bacilli; Caryophanales; Bacillaceae. The record is from Rfam by way of RNAcentral.
CUUCGAUAAUGGCAAACCCAGCGAAAGUUGGUGACGCAAAGCUACGGACCUAAGGAGAAUUUCUUUUUACUUUACUUGAGGUGAACUA